CAGGAUGACAAUUUAGGAAAAAAAAGUCAGGAUAAACUAAUAAAAAAAAGGCAGGACCGAAUGGAGUUAAAAAUAAAAAGCUCCCCCCCCCCCCCCAUAAAAAUCAAAUGGUAGCUCCCUUAGAGGUCAAACAAAGGGAAGAAAUGUUAAGAGACGAGAAAUCAUGAAAAGAUUUAAAACAGACAACAUAAUAGUCAGCAGAAAAAGACGGACAGACAAACAACAAGACAACACAUUUUCUACCAAAAUAACACUGGGUCAACUCUUUUACUGGAGGGAUCAGCUGUUCCUUUUUCAUGCGUUAGUAACAUGUCUGAAUGAAUGUAUUUACUAUUUAUAUAUCUAUUACUUUUUGACUGAUUUUUAAAGUCCUGAUCAUUACGUUGGUAACGCUUCGAGUGCAGACCAGAUGUCGUGUGUUCGAAUCACGAUCCAAUCAAAUCAAACACUAAGUAUAUGGUGCUCACGGCUAAGCACGUGGGAAUUGGGGGUCAAACCAAGGUUAGUAGGAGCCGCUCGGAGUUGGAAUGAUUUGUCCAGGCAUAAUGUGACAUGUCUUCCUGUGUUAACUUUCUGUUGGUCCAGUUCAAAGUAGGUUUUAUAUUCUGUUCUCGAUUUGAUUUUGCAUUUUUCCACUGGACGUUACACAACAAUUAAUGCACCC
This 664-nucleotide long non-coding RNA is filed under the name Mytilus galloprovincialis (Mediterranean mussel). The record is from RNAcentral. Lineage: Eukaryota; Metazoa; Mollusca; Bivalvia; Mytilida; Mytilidae.